GUAGUGUAUUGCAGUGGGUCUAUUUGGUACCAAAAUUUUUCUUUGGACCUGAUGACUUGUGAGAUUGUAUUUGUGGCUUUCCUUAUUAAUUACUUCCAUUGCUCUUUGACUGCAUUAUUUUGCAAUGUGAAAUGAGAGUGUCACAGUUUCUGCUCAUACCACUUUUAGAUUCUUGAAACACUGUUUCCUCAUCGUGGAUGCAUUCACAACUG
This 212-nucleotide unclassified non-coding RNA is filed under the name Hevea brasiliensis (rubber tree). The record is from RNAcentral. Lineage: Eukaryota; Viridiplantae; Streptophyta; Magnoliopsida; Malpighiales; Euphorbiaceae.